AUUGAACUCUGGCGGCGUGCUUUACACAUGCAAGUCGAGCGGCAGCACGGACUUCGGUCUGGUGGCGAGCGGCGAACGGGUGAGUAAUACAUCGGAACGUACCUUUUAGUUGGGGAUAACGCAUCGAAAGAUGUGCUAAUACCGAAUAAUCUCUGAGGAGGAAAGGCGGGGAUCGCAAGACCUGUCGCUGAAAGAGCGGCCGAUGGCUGAUUAGCUAGUUGGGGAGGUAAAUGCUCACCAAGGCGAUGAUCAGUAGCUGUUCUGAGAGGAAGAUCAGCCACACUGGGACUGAGACACGGCCCAGACUCCUACGGGAGGCAGCAGUGGGGAAUAUUGGACAAUGGGCGCAAGCCUGAUGCAGCAACGCCGCGUGCGGGAUGACGGCCUUCGGGUUGUAAACCGCUUUUAGUAAGGAAGAAGGGGAGUUUUGCUCCUUGACGGUACUUGCAGAAAAAGGACCGGCUAACUACGUGCCAGCAGCCGCCGUAA
Molecule: ribosomal RNA, 489 nt
Filed under: uncultured bacterium
Lineage: Bacteria
Description: partial 16S ribosomal RNA
Rfam family: Bacterial small subunit ribosomal RNA
Source: RNAcentral